GACGAACGCUAGCUACAGGCUUAACACAUGCAAGUCGAGGGGCAUCAGGAAGAAAGCUUGCUUUCUUUGCCGGCGACCGGCGCACGGGUGAGUAACACGUAUCCAACCUGCCCUUUACUCGGGGAUAGCCUUUCGAAAGAAAGAUUAAUACCCGAUGGCAUAAUGAUUCCGCAUGGUUUCAUUAUUAAAGGAUUCCGGUAAAGGAUGGGGAUGCGUUCCAUUAGGUUGUUGGUGAGGUAACGGCCCACCAAGCCUUCGAUGGAUAGGGGUUCUGAGAGGAAGGUCCCCCACAUUGGAACUGAGACACGGUCCAAACUCCUACGGGAGGCAGCAGUGAGGAAUAUUGGUCAAUGGGCGCUAGCCUGAACCAGCCAAGUAGCGUGAAGGAUGAAGGCUCUAUGGGUCGUAAACUUCUUUUAUAUAAGAAUAAAGUGCAGUAUGUAUACUGUUUUGUAUGUAUUAUAUGAAUAAGGAUCGGCUAACUCCGUGCCAGCAGCCGCGGUAAUACGGAGGAUCCGAGCGUUAUCCGGAUUUAUUGGGUUUAAAGGGAGCGUAGGUGGACUGGUAAGUCAGUUGUGAAAGUUUGCGGCUCAACCGUAAAAUUGCAGUUGAUACUGUCAGUCUUGAGUACAGUAGAGGUGGGCGGAAUUCGUGGUGUAGCGGUGAAAUGCUUAGAUAUCACGAAGAACUCCGAUUGCGAAGGCAGCUCACUGGACUGCAACUGACACUGAUGCUCGAAAGUGUGGGUAUCAAACAGGAUUAGAUACCCUGGUAGUCCACACAGUAAACGAUGAAUACUCGCUGUUUGCGAUAUACAGUAAGCGGCCAAGCGAAAGCAUUAAGUAUUCCACCUGGGGAGUACGCCGGCAACGGUGAAACUCAAAGGAAUUGACGGGGGCCCGCACAAGCGGAGGAACAUGUGGUUUAAUUCGAUGAUACGCGAGGAACCUUACCCGGGCUUAAAUUGCAGUGGAAUGAUGUGGAAACAUGUCAGUGAGCAAUCACCGCUGUGAAGGUGCUGCAUGGUUGUCGUCAGCUCGUGCCGUGAGGUGUCGGCUUAAGUGCCAUAACGAGCGCAACCCUUAUCUUUAGUUACUAACAGGUUAUGCUGAGGACUCUAGAGAGACUGCCGUCGUAAGAUGUGAGGAAGGUGGGGAUGACGUCAAAUCAGCACGGCCCUUACGUCCGGGGCUACACACGUGUUACAAUGGGGGGUACAGAAGGCAGCUAGCGGGUGACCGUAUGCUAAUCCCAAAAGCCUCUCUCAGUUCGGAUCGAAGUCUGCAACCCGACUUCGUGAAGCUGGAUUCGCUAGUAAUCGCGCAUCAGCCACGGCGCGGUGAAUACGUUCCCGGGCCU
This 1359-nucleotide ribosomal RNA is filed under the name uncultured bacterium. RNAcentral's name for it is "bacterial SSU rRNA". It matches the Rfam family "Bacterial small subunit ribosomal RNA", at positions 28 to 1381 of the family's 1533-position model. The record is from RNAcentral.